ACGUACAUCCUGCGGGAGGCAGCAGUGGGGAAUAUUGGACAAUGGGCGCAAGCCUGAUCCAGCCAUGCCGCGUGAGUGAUGAAGGCCCUAGGGUUGUAAAGCUCUUUCACCGGUGAAGAUAAUGACGGUAACCGGAGAAGAAGCCCCGGCUAACUUCGUGCCAGCAGCCGCGGUAAUACGAAGGGGGCUAGCGUUGUUCGGAUUUACUGGGCGUAAAGCGCACGUAGGCGGACUAUUAAGUCAGGGGUGAAAUCCCGGGGCUCAACCCCGGAACUGCCUUUGAUACUGGUAGUCUUGAGUUCGAGAGAGGUGAGUGGAAUUCCGAGUGUAGAGGUGAAAUUCGUAGAUAUUCGGAGGAACACCAGUGGCGAAGGCGGCUCACUGGCUCGAUACUGACGCUGAGGUGCGAAAGCGUGGGGAGCAAACAGGAUUAGAAACCCGUGUAGUCCC
RNAcentral lists this ribosomal RNA (450 nucleotides) under uncultured organism. RNAcentral's name for it is "partial 16S ribosomal RNA". It matches the Rfam family "Bacterial small subunit ribosomal RNA", at positions 331 to 797 of the family's 1533-position model. The record is from RNAcentral.